AUUGAACGCUGGCGGCAUGCUUUACACAUGCAAGUCGAACGGCAGCGCGGGCUUCGGCCUGGCGGCGAGUGGCGGACGGGCGAGUAAUGCAUCGGAACGUGCCCAGUCGUGGGGGAUAGCCUGACGAAAGCCGGAUUAAUACCGCAUACGACCUGAGGUUGAAAGCGGGGGACCGAAAGGCCUCGCGCUUUUGGAGCGGCCGAUGUCGGAUUAGCUAGCUGGUGGGGUAAAGGCUUACCAAGGCGACGAUCCGUAGCCGGCCUGAGAGGGCGACCAGCCACACUGGGACUGAGACACGGUCCAGACUCCUACGGGAGGCAGCAGUGGGGAAUCUUCGGAAAUGGGGGAAAGCCUGACGGAGCAACGCCGCGUGAGUGAUGAAGGUCUUCGGAUUGUAAAACCCUGUUAUUAGGGAAGAAAAAAUGUGUAAGUAACUCCGCGGGGGUUGACGGUACCUAAAAAGAAAGCCACGGCUAACUACGGG
This 484-nucleotide ribosomal RNA is filed under the name uncultured bacterium. RNAcentral describes it as "partial 16S ribosomal RNA". It matches the Rfam family "Bacterial small subunit ribosomal RNA", at positions 29 to 507 of the family's 1533-position model. The record is from RNAcentral.